Molecule: long non-coding RNA, 2725 nt
Organism: Puntigrus tetrazona (Sumatra barb)
Lineage: Eukaryota; Metazoa; Chordata; Actinopteri; Cypriniformes; Cyprinidae
Exons: 7
Source: RefSeq, a predicted model, not a curated record
AGAUUUAUUUUAUUUUGGUGCAUUGUGUUUUAUUUUUGAUAUAUUUAUAUAUGUUUUCUAUUUUAUCUGGUCAUUCUCUUCUCACGUUGAACAGCUCGUUUCACCGAACAUCUUGUUUUCUGCGUUCAAUCAAAGAAAGAGAGCCGCGCGUGUUUGGCACAGCGUGCGUGAAUGAAGACAGACUUUGACUUUCGGCUGAACUUUAAAUAAAGGCCGUGUUUAUUUGCCGCUGUUUUCCUGCAGAGGAAGGAAAGUUGAGUCACGGCGCGCUGAACAACAGUCACGGCUCACUUGUGUAAAACAGGAUUUGUAGAGUGUGUCUCAUGGCUGCUGUCCUAAUUAUGAAAUAUAUGUGUUUACCACGAAACAACAACAUUUACAUCUUCUUCGUGACUUAUCUGGGUCACGCUCCCAAAUUUACUCACUCACGCAUUCUCCUCAACAGGAUGAAAAGAAGAAAAAGAAGAAAAUGAAAACCAGAGAGACUGCAGAGCCAGGGAUUCUUGCAGAAGGUCUGCAGGGAAACAAAGGAGAAAAUAAAGGAGACGAGGAGAAGAAAAAGAAGAACGACAGAGAAUCAAGCUCUUCCUCUGACAGCUCCAGUGAGGAUGAGAAGUAGGAGAAGAAGAAGAAGAAGGAUUCAGGAGGAGAGGAUCUCGAGGAUCUCGCUGCGUCUCGGUCGUCUUCUGUCUGUCAGGAGCUUGAACUCAAACAGAAGGAUCUCAGAGAAGAGUCUUCAUCUUCAUCCCGAUUCGUCUUCAUCUUCAUCAUCAAGCAGCUCCUCUUCUUCUUCUUCUGACAGCGAUGAUGAGAAGAAGAAAAAAAAAAGAAGAAGAAGAAGAAGAAGAAGAAGCAUAAUCAUAAGAAAAAGGAGUCCAGCUCCUCUUCAUCACCCGACAGCAGCUCUUCAUCCUCAUCCUCAUCCUCUGACAGCGACAAGAAGAAGAAGAAGAAGAAGAAGAAGAAGAAGAGUGGAAAAGACAAGAAAAAGAAGAUGAAGAGUAAAAAGAAGGAAGCUAGCUCCAGUGAGAAGGAAGGAGAGAAGUCGUCUCUGCAGACUGAAGGAGAGUCGUGGAGAGCAGCAGCGCCUCCUGAAGACCUCUGACCGUCAUAGAGAGCCUGAUGGCUCGUCCUCAGAGAUACAUGCAUUCAGAGCCGCGGGGAUGUUUGUAUCAAUGGUUAUGAUUGUUUGACAAAUUAAUCCAACUUUUUAUAUAUAUAUAUAUAUAUAUAUAUAUAUAUAUAUAUAUAUAUUAUAUAUUAGAAUUGCAAGAUAAAAGUCAUAACUGUGAGAUAAAAGGCUUUAAUUGUAGGGAUGCUCCGAUCAGUAUUUUUGAUCAAAGAAAGCCGAUACCGAUAUUAUAAUCGGUAUUUUAUUUUACCGAUAAUCCUUCUUUUUAUUGUGUAGAAUUAUUUGUAAUGAUACUCCAAUCAGGAUUUUUAGAUUUAUUCAGGGCCUGAAUUUCACUCUAUCUUUUCAUUUCUAUCUUUGCAUUUUUUAGACAUUUUUUUUGACUUUUUUUUUUAACAUUUUUUGGAUUUUUUUUAGGCAUUUUUUUGGGGCAAUUUUUCAGAAAUGGAUAUUUAUCCUUCCUUCCUUCAUGGGAUAAAUGUACCUGGGCGCACUUUUUUUAGCAAGACACGAAAUACGUACCACGUGAAAUGCAUCAACAAGUGUUUUUAUAUCAGUUUUUGCGUUUGUUAACCAUCACAUAGUUUUAAGGGUUGAAAAACAUGUCCGAUAACUUUUGGUGACAGUCCACGGAUAUUUAACGGAAUAAAAACAGAGUAAUACGUACCUAUAAAAGCGUGCCAGGGCUCACGUAUUGAAGCUGUGUUCCUCUCAAAGGAAAUAUUUUUUUAAAACCGCAUGGAAUCGUGCAGUAAGCUACGGAAAAACAGCAUUGCACAAUUUUUAUGAGACCAGGUUGUAUUUUUCGCACCUAAAACAGUGCAUUUUUUUUUUUUAAACAGCACAUGCACUUUGCUAUCAAUGUCUGUAUACCACAAACACAACAUUUAUACAUUAAUUGCAUAAUUUAAAUCUUUAUUACAAGAAAUCUUGCAGUUCAUAAAGCAGCUCACUUUGUUUUUGUACCUCCAGGAGUAUGGUCUUUUAUUGCUCUUUCCCGCCAAACCUAGCCAAAAACACACGUGUGUAGACUCUGAAACACAGUAGACUUUAGUUGUACGCAUAGACCUUUCACGGCAGGUGACGCAUCGGCUUGAGAUCGGUUUUCGAUCAAACGUCCCCAACCGAUUAUCGGCCGAUAACGACCAGCAGCCGAAUUGUGAAAAUUGUGAGGUAAACUCAACAAAGUGAUAAAUAUCCUUCAAAAGCUUGUUUCUGCGACAGAAUAAAAAACAAAUACAAAAGGCUAUUGCAACUUUUUAUUUCGGAGUUCUUAUUUCUCGUAAUCCUUAGAAGUCAGAUUUGCGAAUAUAAGAUGAAACGAUCGAAAAAAAAUCGCUAUUUGUGAAUCGUGAAAACGUUGCGCGCUCUUUUUGCUGUCAAGCAUUGUUCUUUUUUCAUCAAGUAAAUGUCAGAAUAACUAUAGAGUAAUAUUUCCAGAUCAGUCAUUUACUACUAAAAUCUGAUCUUUACGAUCUUUUGAGGAACAUCAUUUAUUCGUUUUAUUUUGUGAGUAAAAUAUUCCAUUUCGAUUUAAUUUUAUUUUUUUGCACUCAUUUUCUAUUUUAUUUUUCCUGCACAUUUUUUGCUUGA